This 465-nucleotide ribosomal RNA is filed under the name uncultured Acidovorax sp. RNAcentral's name for it is "bacterial SSU rRNA". It matches the Rfam family "Bacterial small subunit ribosomal RNA", at positions 917 to 1381 of the family's 1533-position model. The record is from RNAcentral. Lineage: Bacteria; Pseudomonadati; Pseudomonadota; Betaproteobacteria; Burkholderiales; Comamonadaceae.
GACGGGACCGCACAAGCGGUGGAUGAUGUGGUUAAUUCGAUGCAACGCGAAAACCUUACCACCUUUGACAUGUACGGAAUCCUUUAGAGAUAGAGGAGUGCUCGAAAGAGAACCGUAACACAGGUGCUGCAUGGCUGUCGUCAGCUCGUGUCGUGAGAUGUUGGGUUAAGUCCCGCAACGAGCGCAACCCUUGUCAUUAGUUGCUACAUUCAGUUGGGCACUCUAAUGAGACUGCCGGUGACAAACCGGAGGAAGGUGGGGAUGACGUCAAGUCCUCAUGGCCCUUAUAGGUGGGGCUACACACGUCAUACAAUGGCUGGUACAAAGGGUUGCCAACCCGCGAGGGGGAGCCAAUCCCAUAAAGCCAGUCGUAGUCCGGAUCGCAGUCUGCAACUCGACUGCGUGAAGUCGGAAUCGCUAGUAAUCGUGGAUCAGCAUGUCACGGUGAAUACGUUCCCGGGUCUU